GACGAACGCUGGCGGCGUGCUUAACACAUGCAAGUCGAACGGAAAGGCCCUGCUUUUGUGGGGUGCUCGAGUGGCGAACGGGUGCGUAACACGUGAGUAACCUGCCCUUGACUUUGGUAUAACUUCAGGAAACUGGGGCUACUACCGUAUCGGAGCUCCUGCUGCAUGGUGGGCGUUGGAAAUUUUCGGCGGUUGGGGAUGGACUCGCGGCUUAUCAGCUUGUUGGUGGGGUAGUGGCUGACCAAGGCUUUGACGGGUAGCCGGCCUGAGAGGGUGACCGGCGACAUUGGGACUGAGAUACGGCCCAGAGGGCUAUGGUAGGCAGCAGUGGGGAGUAUGGCACAAUGGGAGGAAGUCGGAGGCAGAAACGCUGCGGGUGGGAUGACGGCCUGUGGGGAGUAAACAGCUGUAGCCUGAGACGAAGCGUGAGUGACGGUAAUGAGUAAAGAAGCACCGGCUAACUACGUG
This 468-nucleotide ribosomal RNA is filed under the name uncultured bacterium. Its description in RNAcentral is "partial 16S ribosomal RNA". It matches the Rfam family "Bacterial small subunit ribosomal RNA", at positions 28 to 507 of the family's 1533-position model. The record is from RNAcentral.